This 519-nucleotide ribosomal RNA is filed under the name uncultured Planctomycetota bacterium. RNAcentral describes it as "bacterial SSU rRNA". It matches the Rfam family "Bacterial small subunit ribosomal RNA", at positions 117 to 643 of the family's 1533-position model. The record is from RNAcentral. Lineage: Bacteria; Pseudomonadati; Planctomycetota.
GACGGCAACCAACCCCGAGGUUGGGUAUAGCCGCGGGAAACUGCGGGUAAUCCCCAGCGACGUGACGACGCCGGCAUCGGCGUUUCACCAAAGGCUUCGGCCGCCUUGGGACGGGCCGUCGUGGUAUUAGGUAGUUGGCGGGGUUACGGCCCACCAAGCCUGUGAUGCCUACCGGGCGUGCGAGCGUGGCCCGGCACACUGGGACUGAGACACUGCCCAGACUCUUACGGGAGGCUGCAGUCGAGAAUCUUCGGCAAUGGGCGCAAGCCUGACCGAGCGACGCCGCGUGGAGGAUGAAGGCCUUCGGGUUGUAAACUCCUGUCGAGGGGGAGGAAGGGGCGACCUUGACCGAUCCCUGGAGGAAGCACGGGCUAAGUUCGUGCCAGCAGCCGCGGUAAGACGAACCGUGCGAACGUUAUUCGGAAUCACUGGGCUUAAAGCGCGUGUAGGCGGACGGGUGCGUCGGCUUCUGAAAGCCCCCGGCUCAACCGGGGAAGUGGGGCCGAAACGACCCGUCUC